Long non-coding RNA from Gadus morhua (Atlantic cod), 947 nucleotides. NCBI's taxonomy places the organism in Eukaryota, Metazoa, Chordata, Actinopteri, Gadiformes, Gadidae. The record is from Ensembl.
GGGUAGGCUACCUUACGUGCAAUAUCGAUCAAUUGAUUGCCAAAUGAUGUAAGCCCUAUGCCUUACAUAAAUGUUUGAUUUGAAUGUUUCUGUUCAUUAAUUAAUUAACCGAACCCAAUUAAUCACUCACUCUGUGCUCGUGGUCGGAGCCUGCGGCUGGUGCGUGUUUCCUCACGUGGCUGAACACACUGUUCCCAUUCUUGUUUACGUCUUCCCAACCACAUUCUUGGCGACGCGACUCAUUGCUGGAAGUGAACGCUUGCGAUGGAGUCGUCGUGGGGUUUAACUCCGUGUUGGAGCUGACUCGUUUAAAAGUGCACAGGCCGUACGUCCUGGAUCUGACGAAAGACUUCUUAUUAUGUCCAUUCUUGGUUUUAGAAAUAUUCCCAUGCUCAUCAUCACAAGCAGCAGGAGUUCGCUCCGGUUUCCCUCGAUGUUCAUCAUCCUUCUCGGUGGAUCGAGGCGAUCCGCGUCUUCUACAGUCCACUUUGGAAAAGUUGCUACCGUUUGUAAAGUUUGGGAAUUUAAAUCGCCUGAAAGAAUUCCUCACAUCCCCGGGAGAUCUCGGAGCAGGGGCGACUGUUUCCUCCGGCGACUCGGUUUCUCUUUUGGAAACGUUUAUUUCGACCACACACACAGCCUUGAGUACUAGUAUAGGAGGUGGGUUGCCAUUCCAUCAGAAUGGCCUACCCCUCAGAGAUUCCUCAGUAAGAUUUGAGUUUGGGUCGUCUGCACGUAACAAAAGAGCGGGGGGGGGGGGUCCCAAAACCCCACUGAAGGUGUUGUUUAUUGUCUUGUUUUAACACCUAGCUCUAUCUCCCUCUCUAACCUAUCUCUCUUCUCUCGCUCGCUACCUCGCUCUCCUUCACCCCCCCCACACGUUUGUGGUUUGUCAAACAGCUGUGCAACCUGUUCUCACACUGGAGCCUGACCCUGAUCACUGACCC